UCCCUACGGGGCGCAGCAGUGGGGAAUAUUGGGCAAUGGGCGCAAGCCUGACCCAGCAAUGCCGCGUGAAGGAAGAAGGCCCUCGGGUUGUAAACUUCUUUUAUCAGGGACGAAGGAUGUGACGGUACCUGAUGAAUAAGCCACGGCUAACUACGUGCCAGCAGCCGCGGUAAUACGUAGGUGGCAAGCGUUGUCCGGAUUUACUGGGUGUAAAGGGCGUGUAGCCGGGCUGACAAGUCAGAUGUGAAAUCCGGGGGCUCAACCCCUGAACUGCAUUUGAAACUGUUGGUCUUGAGUAUCGGAGA
RNAcentral lists this ribosomal RNA (305 nucleotides) under uncultured bacterium. Its description in RNAcentral is "bacterial SSU rRNA". It matches the Rfam family "Bacterial small subunit ribosomal RNA", at positions 335 to 655 of the family's 1533-position model. The record is from RNAcentral.